This 467-nucleotide ribosomal RNA is filed under the name uncultured bacterium. RNAcentral describes it as "partial 16S ribosomal RNA". It matches the Rfam family "Bacterial small subunit ribosomal RNA", at positions 28 to 506 of the family's 1533-position model. The record is from RNAcentral.
GACGAACGCUGGCGGCGUGCUUAACACAUGCAAGUCGAACGGAAAGGCCCUGCUUUUGUGGGGUGCUCGAGUGGCGAACGGGUGAGUAACACGUGAGUAACCUGCCCUUGACUUUGGGAUAACUUCAGGAAACUGGGGCUAAUACCGGAUAGGAGCUCCUGCUGCAUGGUGGGGGUUGGAAAGUUUCGGCGGUUGGGGAUGGACUCGCGGCUUAUCAGCUUGUUGGUGGGGUAGUGGCUUACCAAGGCUUUGACGGGUAGCCGGCCUGAGAGGGUGACCGGCCACAUGGGGACUGGGAUACGGCCCAGACUCCUACGGGAGGCAGCAGUGGGGAAUAUUGCACAAUGGGCGGAAGCCUGAUGCAGCAACGCCGCGUGCGGGAGGACGGCCUUCGGGGUGUAAACCGCUUUCGCCUGUGACGAAGCGUGAGUGACGGUAAUGGGUAAAGAAGCACCGGCUAACUACGU